This 253-nucleotide ribosomal RNA is filed under the name uncultured bacterium. RNAcentral describes it as "partial 16S ribosomal RNA". It matches the Rfam family "Bacterial small subunit ribosomal RNA", at positions 524 to 776 of the family's 1533-position model. The record is from RNAcentral.
UACAGAGGGUGCGAGCGUUAAUCGGAAUUACUGGGCGUAAAGGGUGCGUAGGUGGUUUGAUAAGUUAGGUGUGAAAGUCCUGGGCUUAACCUGGGGAUUGCGUUUAAUACUGUCAAGCUAGAGUACUGUAGAGGGGAGUGGAAUUUCCGGUGUAGCGGUGAAAUGCGUAGAUAUCGGAAGGAACAUCAGUGGCGAAGGCGGCUCUCUGGACAGAUACUGACACUGAGGCACGAAAGCGUGGGGAGCAAACAGG